Molecule: transfer RNA, 65 nt
Filed under: Dipodomys ordii (Ord's kangaroo rat)
Lineage: Eukaryota; Metazoa; Chordata; Mammalia; Rodentia; Heteromyidae
Rfam family: tRNA
About the family: Transfer RNA (tRNA) molecules are approximately 80 nucleotides in length. Their secondary structure includes four short double-helical elements and three loops (D, anti-codon, and T loops). Further hydrogen bonds mediate the characteristic L-shaped molecular structure. tRNAs have two regions of fundamental functional importance: the anti-codon, which is responsible for specific mRNA codon recognition, and the 3' end, to which the tRNAs corresponding amino acid is attached (by aminoacyl-tRNA synthetases). tRNAs cope with the degeneracy of the genetic code in two manners: having more than one tRNA (with a specific anti-codon) for a particular amino acid; and 'wobble' base-pairing, i.e. permitting non-standard base-pairing at the 3rd anti-codon position.
Source: Rfam by way of RNAcentral
GGUGGCUCAAUGGUAGAGUGCUUGCCUUGCAUGCAUGAGGACCUGGGUUCCAUUCCUCAGCACCA